AGUGAACGCUGGCGGUAGGCCUAACACAUGCAAGUCGAACGGCAGCACAGUAAGAGCUUGCUCUUACGGGUGGCGAGUGGCGGACGGGUGAGGAAUACAUCGGAAUCUACUUUUUCGUGGGGGAUACCGUAGGGAAACUUACGCUAAUACCGCAUACGACCUACGGGUGAAAGCAGGGGAUCUUCGGACCUUGCGCGAUUGCAUGAGCCGAUGUCGGAUUAGCUAGUUGGCGGGGUAAAGGCCCACCAAGGCGACGAUCCGUAGCCGGUCUGAGAGGAUGAUCGGCCACACUGGAACUGAGACACGGUCCAGACUCCUACGGGAGGCAGCAGUGGGGAAUAUUGGACAAUGGGCGCAAGCCUGAUCCAGCCAUACCGCGUGGGUGAAGAAGGCCUUCGGGUUGUAAAGCCCUUUUGUUGGGAAAGAAAAGCAGCAGGUUAAUACCCCGCUGUUCUGACGGUACCCAAAGAAUAAGCACCGGCUAACUUCGUG
Molecule: ribosomal RNA, 492 nt
Filed under: uncultured bacterium
Lineage: Bacteria
Description: partial 16S ribosomal RNA
Rfam family: Bacterial small subunit ribosomal RNA
Source: RNAcentral